AUUGAACGCUGGCGGCAUGCUUUACACAUGCAAGUCGAACGGUAACAGCACUUCGGUGGCUGACGAGUGGCGAACGGGUGAGUAAUACAUCGGAACGUGCCUAGUAGUGGGGGAUAACUACUCGAAAGAGUAGCUAAUACCGCAUGAGAUCUAAGGAUGAAAGCAGGGGACCUUCGGGCCUUGCGCUACUAGAGCGGCUGAUGGCAGAUUAGGUAGUUGGUGGGAUAAAAGCUUACCAAGCCGACGAUCUGUAGCUGGUCUGAGAGGACGACCAGCCACACUAGGACUGAGACACGGCCCAGACUCCUACGGGAGGCAGCAGUGGGGAAUUUUGGACAAUGGGCGCAAGCCUGAUCCAGCAAUGCCGCGUGCAGGAUGAAGGCCUUCGGGUUGUAAACUGCUUUUGUACGGAACGAAAAGCCCUCUUCUAAUACAGGAGGGUCAUGACGGUACCGUAAGAAUAAGCACCGGCUAACUACGUG
RNAcentral lists this ribosomal RNA (482 nucleotides) under uncultured bacterium. Its description in RNAcentral is "partial 16S ribosomal RNA". It matches the Rfam family "Bacterial small subunit ribosomal RNA", at positions 30 to 507 of the family's 1533-position model. The record is from RNAcentral.